AGUGAACGCUGGCGGUAGGCCUAACACAUGCAAGUCGAACGGCAGCACAGUAAGAGCUUGCUCUUACGGGUGGCGAGUGGCGGACGGGUGAGGAAUACAUCGGAAUCUACUUUUUCGUGGGGGAUAACGUAGGGAAACUUACGCUAAUACCGCAUACGACCUACGGGUGAAAGCAGGGGAUCUUCGGACCUUGCGCGAUUGAAUGAGCCGAUGUCGGAUUAGCUAGUUGGCGGGGUAAAGGCCCACCAAGGCGACGAUCCGUAGCUGGUCUGAGAGGAUGAUCAGCCACACUGGAACUGGGACACGGUCCAGACUCCUACGGGGGGCAGCAGUGGGGAAUAUUGGACAAUGGGCGCAAGCCUGAUCCAGCCAUACCGCGUGGGUGAAGAAGGCCUUCGGGUUGUAAAGCCCUUUUGUUGGGAAAGAAAAGCAGCAGGUUAAUACCCCGCUGUUCUGACGGUACCCAAAGAAUAAGCACCGGCUAACUUCGUG
Molecule: ribosomal RNA, 492 nt
Filed under: uncultured bacterium
Lineage: Bacteria
Description: partial 16S ribosomal RNA
Rfam family: Bacterial small subunit ribosomal RNA
Source: RNAcentral